CCGGCGUCGGGAGGAGGACGGCGCAGGAAGACGUCAGACUCGUUGAGACUACAGACGUAUAGUUUUACCGAGAAGAACAUUCCGAUGACCAGAGACUAUAUCAGUUCUAAGUGUGGAAGAGACAGGGAAUCAACUCUUCAUGACAGAAACACCCCAGCUCUGCAGUGGGUUAAGGAAGACACUGCAAAGGAAAUAUGAGAAAAAUUGUAUUUUGCAUUGCGGACAAUUGCACAAUGGCGUUCAUUAAGGAACUGCCAAAAAUCACGGAUACUUUCCUCUCCAUCUGCAAACAAAUAGUGAGCUGCGUGUCCACAGAUCCACUUCACAGAUUUCGUCUUGGCUUGUGGAAAGUAUUCCGGGUCUGGAAAGAGAAACAGUUUAGUAGGUAUCUGAUGAAAAGUCAUACUGGUAAUUACGGAAACAUCUGUCGCAGCAACAUCCAGACACCUCUUGCCGAUCACACCAGGCGGUGCUCGUCUGUGUCCAAAACAUCACAGGCGACACACAGCGGGGUGUUUGCGAGGUGAAUUUCAUGUAAGCGUGACCAGCAUACUUGCUUCCCAUUGACAGUAAGGUACCAUGCAGACUGGACGUCAUUGUCAACAUAAGGAGCGCACACCGAUCGCCAAACGGCAAGCCAGUCGACGUCAACGUCUGGUCCUCUGCAAAAUACAGGGUGGAGCCUGAAGGUAUAUAAAGCCCAACACCCCACCCCCCACCCCUCAAUCACACAACCAUCAUCAGUCUUUGACAGUGCCUAGUUGUGUUCGUGUGCUCAUCGCAAGAUGAAACGUUCAACCAGUAGCAGCGCCAGCAGCAGUGGUGAUGAGAAACAGCCAGACUUGGACUAACUGCCAUGUAAGUGUUUAUAAAGAAUAUUAUGAGUUCAAAUUGCGACAGUUUGAAGGUUUCGUAGCAAAGUAUUCAAAUUUUUCGAGAUUGUGACACAUUUUCGCAUCAGAUUGUUAUAAAAGUUCUCUUUCUUGCUGUUGCAGCAUUCAUUCACCAAAUGAAGACUUAGCGCAUUAGCUGUAAGCUUAGAAGCAGCCAUGUAAGUACAUUUCCAAAUUUUGUGUCUGAUGGUUUACACGUUCAGAAUUUGUCGCUUAAAAGUUGAUAGCAGCAGCAAGUCGAAGAGGUUAUGCUACCUUCACGUAAGUGCAUCUCCAAAUUCCCUGUGUGUGUGAUAGCUUACGUGGUCAGAAAACAACUCUCGAUGUAUUCAAAUCGUAACAAGUAUUUAUAAAAGUUUUGAUCUCACUGUUGCAGCACUUGGGCAGCAGUUGACAGCCUUUGAACGGCUGCUGGAGACCAAAAGGCAACAGCAGCGUGUACGUGUUGCUAUGGAGCAAGAGAAGGAGAAUCUAGCAGGGGUAUGCGUCAAGGACCAGGAGUCAUCACUUCCAUCUGACGAAUUCAGUGGGAUGGAUCAAUGGCUCCACGGCAUUUCUGAGGAGGGUGAAAUACCGGAGUGCAUACAUGAGAUGGUGGAUUCUGAGUAAGCCGAAAGGCAGUGCCAUCUCGCCCUUUUGAAUGAGGAGGAGGAAAUACUGGAUUGUGUGGGAGAACUAGUAGGAACACUGACUGAACUGCUUAAUCCUUGAACCCAGAGUAUAAAAGAGGUUGUCGCCAACACUGCCACUACAACAGCUUGCUGUAACAUGGGUGCCUAGAAGUGUGGUUGUGGGGACAGGCGUCAGUCAUGCACCCGAGUGCAAACCACUGCUCAUAGCUGUGUGAGAGGCAGUGGACACAGCUGCAGUGUCAGCCCCUGCAACAUCGCAUUCUCUCUGGCGUCUCUGGGUGGUUCAGUCGGAAGAAGAACAGCAAUGAUCUCCCCCCCCCCCCCCCUCCAGGCUGGUCGUGGUGAGGGCUCCAGCAUGCAGCAGCAUCGAGUGCUCUCUCCGCAGCCUGGGUGCUCUCACAGUACCUCACCACCACCACCACCUCCCCGUACUCCGGCUCUAAUUAUUUGCCCUCGCUAGCACCAAAACGUAUGUGUGCCUUAGUGCGUACCUCUCACUGCAGCAGGUGCCCUCUCCCCAAUGUCGUCAUCCACCGAGUGGUCGCAGUCGUUGGCUUCCCCUACACAUAGUUUUACUGAUACUGUUAAUGAUAAAUAACUUGUGGCUAGCGGUAGUGCUCUCUCCCGUCCUGAUUGAGAAGGAUGUGAGAUUAGCGGCCUCAUGGCCCCCCUCUAGAAUACUCGGUGGUUGGUAGGGCCUUCGAAGGGCGAAUCUCUUUCACUAGAACUGAGAAUCCGGCAGGGGUUUAUCGCGAUCCAGUCGGGUUUCUACAAGUGUACAUCCCGGCACUGGAGACAGAGCUCCUCAAAGCCCUAGACGAUCUGAGAUUUAAUGUUGUUAAAUGUAACGCAGUACUCUGCUGCGAGUUGAUUCACCCACCCAAAGAGCAGCGUGUUGCUGAGGAGAAAAGCUUGCACUACGUCUGGGGUGAUAAUGGAAUUAUUUCUUGGAGCACAUCGAUCGCCGAGUGAUAUCGUGAAUCAACAUGGGGUUUUAUACUGGCCCAGUUUUCCAAGAUGGAAGUAAGAGGGUCAGCUAAAGCACUCAUCCAAAUACCAGAUAUCGACAUUCAUAUUUAUGUCUGUGAUCUGUUAAAAGGAGGGUCCAGUUGUAUCAAGCUCACUUAGGAUAUAGCUAAUAAGAGGGCAUGGAUUAAUGUCGAAAAUAGAUAGGAUCAUGCUUGUUUUACACGGUAAAUCUUUGCUUGCGAAAGAAAUUAGUGUGUACGUCCAGUGCACAUAUCUCGAUAUGGAAUAGGCCUUAACAUUCAUGGAUGUUAUGUCUUUGACAGUAUCAAGCUCACCGUGAAGAUUCAGGACACACCAAAAAUUAAGGCACAAAAGCCUGGAAUGUCGGCUCACGUUUAUGACUUGAAGAAGCAGAAAAGCAAGCCAGAUGACUGAUGAUAAUGAUAAUCAGCAACAGAAGGAGGACAAGCAUACGAUGAUAAUCAGGAACAGGAGAAGGAUAAGCGUACUGUAGUUGGACCACUCCAUUUUUCGAAAUGUGCGGGUGAGUCUGAUCUUCAUGUAAACAUGCUGCUCUUAUCUGAAGGUGAUAAUCAACAUUACGUAUGGAUCAAAGACAUGUCGCACCUCCUUAACUCCCAGCUCAAUAAAAACAAGUGUAAAAAAACACAUUUGAUUCAGGUGUCAAUACCUUUCAGGAACAGAAGUAUUUAAAAAGGCAUCUGAAGGACUGUGAAUCCGAGGAACAGUUACGUGUUGUUAUGCAUACAGAAGAAAACAAGUUCAUUAAAUUCAUGAAUGUUCUCCACCAAGAACGAUGUCCAUUUGUUGUAUACACAGAGUCUGAAUGUCUCUUUGCCCCUAUCACCCGCUGUGAAGGGAACCCCUUAGCCCCACAUACCACCUUCAUGCAAAAACACGUACCGUAUGCGGUGGUGUACCAACUUCAAUUCUCACAUGAUUCGAGUCUUAACCACUAUGAAUCUUAUGUCGGGGAUAAUCCUGUGGUUUGGUUACUCACCGAGCUUCAAGAACUCUCAUGGGAUGUUGACAGCCUUUACAGCACCAACAUCUCCAUGAUCGAAUCGGAGGAGGAUAAAAAAUUAUGGAAUGAUGAGGUUAACUGACAUAUUUGUGGGCUCUCAUUAGCCAGAAAAGCUGAAACUCCCUGUAGAGAUCAUUGUCAUCUUAUGGGGAAUUUCUGCUGUGCAGCUCACAACGCAUGCAACGUAAAGUAUAACUUACUGUGACACAUACCCAUCUUCUUCCAUAAUUUAAGUGGGUAUGAUGCUCACUUACUAGUUGAGCUACUGGCUAACACCAGUAUGAAAAAAGAUCAGGUCAGUGUCCUGUCUGAGAGUCUAGAAAAGUAUAUUUCUAGUAGUAGGACAAGGAGAGUGUCCCUCCAAAGUGGGUCACCCCAAACUACCGUUAUCCAAGAUGGUUGCCGUCACCCCAGGGGCGGCGUCACCCCAAAGUACCGUUAUCCAAGAUGGCGGCCGUGACGCAAGUACGUGAUGUCAGCUGAUGAUGCGAUUGACAGCAGCUGAUGACGCGACUACUGUUAUCCAAGACGGCGGCUUUUGGAGGGAAGAUGGCUCAAUUGUGCUACCUCUACUUACCUAAGAAAAUGGCGGGAAAGAAAAGGCUAUCUCCACUAAACUAAGUCACCUCUUCCAAGGAACUGGGCAUAAGUUUUUAUUUAAACAAUUAUAGACAGUACCACCAUCAAGUGUGUUCGCCAUUCUCUUCGAAUUUCGAAUUUUGCUCUAAGAGCUUACUCCUAAAGCUGAGGCGAGUUAGUAUGGUAUUACCGUUCAAUACGAAUAUAAUUUUUAUAAAUUUGUUAAAAUUUUCUUAAAUUUGUGUAUAUUUGAUUAAAUUUGUUUAAAUUUAUUAUCUACCUACAGCAUUAGUGUCGUGUUAUGGCCACAAGAUGCUGAGAAGCUCUGGACAUAAGUCUUUAUGUAAAUAAUUAGAGGCAGU
Long non-coding RNA from Schistocerca nitens (vagrant locust), 4480 nucleotides. RefSeq lists it as uncharacterized. Lineage: Eukaryota; Metazoa; Arthropoda; Insecta; Orthoptera; Acrididae. The record is from RefSeq and is a predicted model, not a curated record. The transcript is spliced from 4 exons.